GCGGGCCGUGAGAGCGGGAGCCCGGAGAUGGGCACUGAGACAAGGGCCCAGGCCCUACGGGGCGCAGCAGUCGCGAAAACUUUGCAAUACACGAAAGUGUGACAGGGCUAUCCCGAGUGCCAUCCGCUGAGGAAGGCUUUUACCCAGUCUAGAACGCUGGGGGAAUAAGGAGAGGGCAAGUCUGGUGUCAGCCGCCGCGGUAAUACCAGCUCUUCGAGUGGUGUGGAUGUUUAUUGGGCCUAAAGCAUCCGUAGCUGGCUGAGUUA
RNAcentral lists this ribosomal RNA (266 nucleotides) under uncultured crenarchaeote. Its description in RNAcentral is "partial 16S ribosomal RNA". It matches the Rfam family "Archaeal small subunit ribosomal RNA", at positions 268 to 536 of the family's 1478-position model. Lineage: Archaea; Thermoproteati; Thermoproteota. The record is from RNAcentral.